GAUGAACGCUGGCGGCGUGCCUAAUACAUGCAAGUCGAGCGAACAGAUAAGGAGCUUGCUCCUUUGACGUUAGCGGCGGACGGGUGAGUAACACGUGGGUAACCUACCUAUAAGACUGGGAUAACUUCGGGAAACCGGAGCUAAUACCGGAUAACAUUUGGAACCGCAUGGUUCUAAAGUGAAAGAUGGUUUUGCUAUCACUUAUAGAUGGACCCGCGCCGUAUUAGCUAGUUGGUAAGGUAACGGCUUACCAAGGCGACGAUACGUAGCCGACCUGAGAGGGGGGACGCCACACCGGGAAGGGAGACCCGUCCGAGACCCGGAGGGGGGGCGGCGGAGGGGAUUUUUCGGAAAGGGAGAAAAGCCGGAGGGAGCAACGCGGGGGGAGGGAGAAGGGUUUUGGGCUGGAAAAACUUUUUAAUAGGGGAAAAAAAAAUGUGAAAGUAACGGGGCAGGUUUGGAGGGAACUUAAUAAGAAGACCACGGCAAACUACGUG
RNAcentral lists this ribosomal RNA (497 nucleotides) under uncultured bacterium. RNAcentral describes it as "partial 16S ribosomal RNA". It matches the Rfam family "Bacterial small subunit ribosomal RNA", at positions 28 to 507 of the family's 1533-position model. The record is from RNAcentral.